RNAcentral lists this ribosomal RNA (496 nucleotides) under uncultured bacterium. RNAcentral describes it as "partial 16S ribosomal RNA". It matches the Rfam family "Bacterial small subunit ribosomal RNA", at positions 29 to 507 of the family's 1533-position model. The record is from RNAcentral.
ACGAACGCUGGCGGCGUGCCUAAUACAUGCCAGUUGAGCGCUGAAGGUUGGUACUUGUACCAACUGGAUGAGCAGCGAACGGGUGAGUAACGCGUGGGGAAUCUGCCUUUGAGCGGGGGACAACAUUUGGAAACGAAUGCUAAUACCGCAUAAAAACUUUAAACACAAGUUUUAAGUUUGAAAGAUGCAAUUGCAUCACUCAAAGAUGAUCCCGCGUUGUAUUAGCUAGUUGGUGAGGUAAAGGCUCACCAAGGCGAUGAUACAUAGCCGACCUGAGAAGGGGAUCGGCCACAUUGGGACUGAGACACGGCCCAAACUCCUACGGGAGGCAGCAGUAGGGAAUCUUCGGCAAUGGACGAAAGUCUGACCGAGCAACGCCGCGUGAGUGAAGAAGGGUUUCGGAUCGUAAAACUCUGUUGGUAGAGAAGAACGUUGGUGAGAGUGGAAAGCUCAUCAAGUGACGGUAACUACCCAGAAAGGGACGGCUAACUACGUG